GCCCCCGUUGUCUAAUGGUUAUGACGUCAGACUUCUAUUCCGCGUUGUCUAAUGCGAAUUACGUAUCUGGAGGCUGCGGGUUCGAGUCCCGCCGGGGGUU
Schizophyllum amplum is the source of this 100-nucleotide non-coding RNA. The record is from the annotation of a GenBank genome assembly. Lineage: Eukaryota; Fungi; Basidiomycota; Agaricomycetes; Agaricales; Schizophyllaceae.